GCUGAGCGUGGUGGCGCACGCGUGUAGUCCCAGCUACUCCGGAGGCUGAGGCAGGAGAAUCACUUGAACCUGGGAGGCAGAGGUUGCAGUGAGCCAAGAUUGUGCCACUGCACUCCAUCCUGGGUGACAGAGUGAGACUCUGUCUCAA
This 148-nucleotide non-coding RNA is filed under the name Gorilla gorilla gorilla (western lowland gorilla). Lineage: Eukaryota; Metazoa; Chordata; Mammalia; Primates; Hominidae. The record is from Rfam by way of RNAcentral.